GGCCCAUAUCAUGCAAAAUCCACUUUUUAGACAUUUUGGAGCGUCCCUAUGACUCUAUGGGUCACAUAUACACACACUGAGCACGGUAGAAAUGCAUUUCCUGCUUUUUUCACAUUUUGAAAACGUAAAUUUUCUCAUCCAAUGAAAACAGCCACGACCUACUCUGAGGCCGUGUCCCAGUUGUCGUCACACUGGUUGAAAGUUCUCCUUGCAAAUCCUGAACCACCACCCCCACAAUGAUCCCGAACCAAAACUGGACUUCCGCCAUUUCCCCCCUCUCACUGACCGUGAACAGACCAGCACGGCAGCGCCCAAGUCCUCCCAUAGAAAUAGUUCGGUUCUUAGGUGUUCUAACCAACACCAAAGUCUCUUCACUUUACCAAGGGAUCAACAAGUGAGGAUUUGUGGGUCACUUUUAUUUUUAACGGACCGGUGCCAGAAACACUGCCUCAGCAUUUAUACGUAUGUGCAUUUCAAACAAGGGUGCGUACAAUGCUGGAUUUGUUUCACGGCUCCUGUUGGAAAAAAAGGACCUAUUCCUAAAGUCCGUCAUCCACUCACUGAAGAGGGCAAAUCCCAGUUGCCCACAUGCAAGGAGGCUGUGAAACAGAGAAAUCACUGCAGACUGUACACAGACAUCUGCUGCCAAGCUCAGGAGUGAAGGUAUGUAAGUUUGUAUGUACCAACAGUAAGAUAGGUAAUAGAAGAUUUUAAUUGGUAUAUACUGUUUAGAUUUUAUAUUUGAAUUGUAACAACUGUUUAUCUGUUGUUUUAGCACAGACAGGCCUGUCCUCUUGUUUGGUUUAAUUUUUUGUCUGGUAUUGUGUGUUCUUACAUUAGAGAAGGUUUUGACCUACAUAAUAAUUAACAUUUCACUAAUCUACAAUUCUGAUUGCACUACCUUUUGUUUUGAUGAGGUGAUGGUGAGGACAGCCACAGCUUCCAUCUGGUAGAGGACUGCUUCCGCUCAGUCUUCCAAAUAGUGAUGAGAACAAGGAUCACCACAUC
This is a long non-coding RNA of Betta splendens (Siamese fighting fish), 1008 nucleotides long. RefSeq lists it as uncharacterized. NCBI's taxonomy places the organism in Eukaryota, Metazoa, Chordata, Actinopteri, Anabantiformes, Osphronemidae. The transcript is spliced from 2 exons. The record is from RefSeq and is a predicted model, not a curated record.